This 216-nucleotide ribosomal RNA is filed under the name Glomeromycotina sp. RNAcentral describes it as "partial small subunit ribosomal RNA". The stretch from base 40 to 216 matches the Rfam family "Eukaryotic small subunit ribosomal RNA", at positions 686 to 864 of the family's 1831-position model. The record is from RNAcentral. Lineage: Eukaryota; Fungi; Glomeromycota.
GGGUCAGUGGGUUGGUCGUGCCACCGGUACGUACUGGUCUCACUGAUUCCUCCUUCCUGAAGAACCGUAAUGCCAUUAAUUUGGUGUUGCGGGGAAACAGGACUGUUACUUUGAAAAAAUUAGAGUGUUUAAAACAAGCUAACGCUUGAAUACAUUAGCAUGGAAUAAUGAAAUAGGACGAUCGAUCCUAUUUUGUUGGUUUCUAGGAUUGACGUA